Long non-coding RNA from Triticum aestivum (bread wheat), 703 nucleotides. RefSeq lists it as uncharacterized. The record is from RefSeq and is a predicted model, not a curated record. The transcript has 2 exons. Lineage: Eukaryota; Viridiplantae; Streptophyta; Magnoliopsida; Poales; Poaceae.
ACUUCUUCCUUUCAUGCUGCACAUGUGAACUGAAAACUGUAGAAAAGAGAAUUUAGUAUGUUUUGGAGAGCUUAAUUUCCCAAGUGGCAAAUUUGAUCUGUACCAGUAAGUACAUGAUUAAUAUUUUAGAAUAUGUGUGGUUCCAGUAAGUACAUGAGUACUAUUUAGCAUGUUUGAUUGCUUCUGAAUAAUGAAAAUGUGCGUGUACUGAUGCAUUUCAAAAAUUGUGAUGUGUGUUCUUAGGAAAAAACAUUUUCACGUUAUUGGUGCCGCUGGAUAACUGUCAUAGUUUGUCGCCAGCAAAGUUCCUGAACUUGGCUUAUACCAGUAGUAGAACUUACUGGUUCUCCGUGACAUAAAAUUGAAAACAGACAAAAAAUUCUCAAGAAUUGAGGCUUCGCCAAGGAACAAGACUGGUAACUAGCGCAAAGGAGACUAUGUCGAGAGGUGGCACUGCUAGACUUGCUGAUGUGUAGUUAUGGCAUAAAAAAGAUGAAAAAAAUGGUAUCUUGUAUGAUUCCAUAGGGUGCACGUAGCAAAUCUUCCCAUGUGGAUCAGUACAACUUAUGUAUGGCCUUGAGUUCACAAAUCUUAUAGUAAUCUUUGUAGUACUCUUCGUAACACUUCGUAAAGCAAGAGUGGCCCUUUUUUGUGAGCAACAAUUCAAACGAAUCUGUUGUAUCAGUUCUUAUGAUAGAUAGAA